This is a long non-coding RNA of Phacochoerus africanus (Common warthog), 2103 nucleotides long. RefSeq lists it as uncharacterized. The record is from RefSeq and is a predicted model, not a curated record. NCBI's taxonomy places the organism in Eukaryota, Metazoa, Chordata, Mammalia, Artiodactyla, Suidae. The transcript is spliced from 6 exons.
UGAGGAAGUGCGCCUGCGUGUGAGCCAGAGGCGGAAAGGGUUUAGCAUGUACAGCUUUUUAACCUUCCUCUGUCCCGGCGAUCUGCGCAUGCUCAAGAUGCUGUGCCCACCUCCAACUUUCCUGGCGUCUCUUGUCAAUCCCAUGAAGAUCUGGGGCUGAGGACCUGGCAGUGUAAUUACCAUAGAAGAGAGAGAAGAAGCAACGUGGAGACAACUUGGGAUAAAAGGAAGAGGGAAGAGGAGAGCAGAAUAAAAAAAGCAAAGGUUCUCCUUUCGUGCUUCGGAGGACUGGAUUUUGAUUUGGAUGCAGAGAUGUUUAGCAACUUUUUUAAGAUAAGUAUUUCAUGUAGCUGUUGGACUGUAAGCUCCCUGAGGAUAGAGACUGAUUUUCACCUUCCUGCUUCUAUCUUCAGUGCCUAACAGUGUAUAGUACCUAGUAGGAGAUGAAUACACAUUUCCUAGAGGAAUAAAAAAAGGAAAUGGCCAAAUGUUAAAUCCUGAUCUGCCCAACUCCCAAAUCUAAUUCUUUCUACUUCUGAACUCAUAAUUUAUUAAAAACAAUUGGGAUUUGGCCCAUGGUUUUUAAUCCCUUAUUUACUGAAUAACUGGAAGUGUUAUGAGCUCUGUUCCAAUGUCUGUUUGAAGUUCUAGGUACAUAAUUAGUUGCCGAGUUCCCGUCUCUUGGCCAAAUCUAUAAUUAAGCAAGUUUCACAAGACAUAGUUAGACACAGUCCCUGGUUCCCUAAAAUGCGUUAACAUUCACCCAGAGGACCAGACUUGGAGAAAAACAUAGGACUGGAAAAUAUUUACUAUACUCCAGUAUCAUUGCUCUCCCUUGUCACCAUAAGCAAUUACAGAACCGGAAAGUGCUUUUUUUUUUUUUUUUAAUCUAAACAUAAAUCUUAACAGACAUACAUUCUCAUAGAGUUUCUUCACAGUGCAUGUUAGAAAUGAAACAAUUUUUGAUUCGUUAGCACACAAUGAUGUUAACAUAUUACAGUUUCUGUCCAGGAGUUGGAUAAAGGCAAGAAGUGAAAGACACAUCAAGCACGCUGUUCUAGAAGGACACGUGCAGGUGUGCCUGGGACCUUGGCCUGAGUAAUGCUUUAAGGCUCAACAAGGCAGGCCCAGUGAUCUGUGAAUCAUCUUUAUCUUCUGAUAAAGAAUGGGCGAAUAAAGUCAUUUCUCCUUGCCUUUCUCACUCACUCAUGUGUUGACCAAAGUUACACUGGCCAUGGCUCCAGUCAUCCCAGGGCACUUCAUAGGGUCUUUUCAGUUGUGUGCUCAUCUAUGUCGUCAUUCCUCCACUUCUUCCAAGUAUUUACUAAGAGCUCUCAUAGCUCUUAGGGGGCUUGGGAGGAACACAGCACAAGCUUCUAGGCUCUGUGGGCGUUAUUGACAAUACACCUGGAACUCAGGUGUGACUGUGAGGCCCCUGGCAGCUGAGCUGGCGACUUAACUAUUAUCACCUUCCUUCCUCACCAGCUCCUGAGAUCCCGAAAAGUCCUUCUUGUUACUGUGAGCUGAGGAGUGUGAUCCUCCCUUAUGUCCCUCUGACAUCAACUGUGACAUCAACACAAAGGUGGCUCUCUUGCCUUUACUGAAAUUGCACCCAUGUUACCAUGACUGCAUGAUUAGAGAGGUGUCAACCCUUUACACAUUACUUAGUUGAAGAAGGUGCAGGAGCUGUUCAGCUAUGUGGAUGAUUCUUCUUGCUUCCUGCAGGAACAGGUUUCUCUAUGGUCAUUAAACAAAAGGGAAUGACCAGCCACAGGAACUUCACCAAGUACUGGAUACCACACCUGCUUUUCCAAGUCAGAUACAACCAUCUCCAUUCUAAACAGUCUACAUCUUUGAAGGACUGUGGCAGACACAGGCUGGGGAUUGGUCACUGGGGUGACUCACAAACAGCAGCUUGCAGCGCCCAGAGGAGGCUCCCAUUUACAACUGAAGUCUGCCCUCUACUGGUCACAAGCAGCCCAAACCUACACCACAAAGCCACUGAAGAGUUUGCUUCUAAAAUCGUUCUUCUCCAGGAACAUUUUGGAAAUUGCUACAAUUUAUUUAGCUAGAGAAAUACAAAGAAAUGACAUCUUCUGAAAA